AAUUUUUACUGGGGGAGCCGAAAGGCUGAGAGUCCCUGAUCUUGAUCGGGACGACCCUUGGAACCUGGUCUCGGUAAUGCGAGCGUAGGGAAGUAGACAGAUUCCGGA
Molecule: non-coding RNA, 108 nt
Filed under: Dehalogenimonas formicexedens
Lineage: Bacteria; Bacillati; Chloroflexota; Dehalococcoidia; Dehalococcoidales; Dehalococcoidaceae
Description: TPP sequence
Rfam family: TPP riboswitch aptamer (THI element)
About the family: Vitamin B(1) in its active form thiamin pyrophosphate (TPP) is an essential coenzyme that is synthesised by coupling of pyrimidine and thiazole moieties in bacteria.
Source: Rfam by way of RNAcentral